UCAGGGAGCUUAGCUAUCCGUUGCUUGACGCAGAAGACGAAGCAAUACUACCAGAAAUCACAGGGGCAGAGCUGAGCAGCAUAGCU
Melanotaenia boesemani (Boeseman's rainbowfish) is the source of this 86-nucleotide long non-coding RNA. RefSeq lists it as uncharacterized. The transcript has 3 exons. The record is from RefSeq and is a predicted model, not a curated record. NCBI's taxonomy places the organism in Eukaryota, Metazoa, Chordata, Actinopteri, Atheriniformes, Melanotaeniidae.